This 80-nucleotide non-coding RNA is filed under the name Nitrospirota bacterium. Its description in RNAcentral is "Nitrospirae bacterium c-di-GMP sequence". It matches the Rfam family "c-di-GMP-I-GGC riboswitch aptamer". The record is from RNAcentral. Lineage: Bacteria; Pseudomonadati; Nitrospirota.
CCCGAUAAAGCCAAAUUCUCCGUGAGGAGAAAGCGGAAAGCCGCGGGUCUUUUAAGCAAUAGAUAGCCGAGCUGCCGAAG